This is a long non-coding RNA of Juglans microcarpa x Juglans regia, 2148 nucleotides long. RefSeq lists it as uncharacterized. The record is from RefSeq and is a predicted model, not a curated record. The transcript is spliced from 3 exons. Lineage: Eukaryota; Viridiplantae; Streptophyta; Magnoliopsida; Fagales; Juglandaceae.
GGAGUAGCAGCAGCAGUGUCUUUGGCCACAGGAGGAAGAGGUGGGUCCACAACGUCUGAGGCCUCGAGGGGCGGAAGAGGGGCUGCUGCUGGUGGCUGUACUUCAGGAGGAACCAAGGAAAGUAGAGAACCUGCUUGAGCUGUUCCUGGAUAUUCAGUUAUGAUCCCGUCGACUCCAACUCCAUCAACAAAAGUAGCAAUCUCCAUAAUAGGGUCUGAGAAAUAGUCAAAUGCCAGUGUGAUGUACUCGUUCCUAAGGACGUAGACAUACACCGAGACAUUGGCUUUCUGAAAUUCCGCAACAACAUUUGUCAUAGCCGUGGUGAAGAAAUCAUUAAUCUGAAUGAUGGAUGACCUUGUGAUGGCAACUGCAUCAGCAAACUUCUUGAUUUCCUCCACUGGCUGUUUUGGUGCAUCACCUAUCUUCUCUUCAAUCAACAGUACUCUUUUGUAGGUUGGGACAUUCAUAAACUUGGACAACACUGAAGUGUCAUCGGAUUGUAUCAAGACUUGCUGAGUGGAUUGCUUGUCGAAGGUGGCAUUGCUCAAGGCAGUGUUAACAGCACCGACAAUGUCAAGCCCCUUCUUUGAUGCUAGGUAGGCAGCAUUCUGAGAAGGAAAUAUGUUUGUCAAUGCACGAACUUUGGAGUUUAAACGUGAAGGAGGAGUUUCUUUGUAACGUCUGGAUUUGGAUUGGAAUGAAUUGAUAUUAUGAACAACGAUGUUUUAUAAAGACAAAUAUCGUUAUAGCAGAGUUGAAACGUACCUGAAUAUUGAUCAAAACUCCAGAAACUGCCUUUGCUUUAGCUAACUCCAGAAAUUCGGGAAGGGUAGUAAACUUACCAGCAUUCUUGUAUGCUGGGUUUCUCUGGAAGUCCUGGUACACACUCGUGAUUUGUGCUGCAAUGUGUAAGUUUUAGGUAUAAGUAGGAUUUAAAGCUUAUGAAACCUGCAUUUUUUGAAGUGUAUGGAGAAGUUUUGAAGAGGUUUACGCUUCAAGGUUUGAAUCUCGCUCCAUGUAAGAUCGAAUGAAAAGACUCCGGCCUUGGAUUGAAUUUCUGGUACAGUGAUAGACCUAGAAAUGAAAGUAGUCAUUGCAGUUGUAUCUCCGAUGAGGUCAGCUGUAUCCGAGCAGAAGGCCACUCCAUCUUUUGACAUCUGAACUGAGCAGUCUAUUAUGUCUGCACCAUCAUUUACUGCUUGCUGAUAAGCAAGAUCAGUGCAGCCAGGAUAAAUCCCACUUGCUCCAUUUUUGGUGAUAAUUAAAGCUUUCCCUGAAAACGCACAAAAUUGUUGUUGACAACUAAAGCUUUUCCUUCAUUUCUUGAACAUAUCUUGAACCUUUAAAGUUCUCAUAUCAGCACUCUUGAAAAGAUCUAAUAUACAUACCUUUGACGGGCUUGCUGACGUUCUUGUUAUUUGCAAAGCAUCCUGCACCAAGAAAGAGCAACGCAGGGUCAGACCAUAACUCAGAGAACCAUUCAAGUACCAAGUUAUGUACUUGCUCUUUAGAUUCCCAUCAGUGUAUUUUCAUUUUUAAUUGGGGUUGCAAGACACAUUACAUGAAAUCUCAAGGGAAAUAUCGAGAAGGCAUGACAGUCAGGUGAUCUCACCAAUGGCUUCUGAUGCUGUAGGAGAGAAGUCUGUAAGCACCCCAUCAACAGAGAACUCGGAAUUAUCAACAAACUGAAGGUAUUCGUUUGUAGGAUCAUAACUAUAAUUAUAGCUUCCAAGAAGAUCAUUUGCAAAACCAGAAGCAUAUACUUCUAGUCCUUGUUUGUGAGCAUCAGCUACUAGGCUAGUAGGAGCUUCCCCCAAAUAUUUGUUUGCCUGUACUGGCCAUAUGUAUUCUUUGGGGACAAGGAUUCCAGAUGCAAAUGACUUGAUUGAUGCAAGAUCCUGCAGCAGGGAACCGUAGUUUUUAUUGGUUGUGGGUUCAAUCUCAUCCGCAGUGAGGACCUGGAGGAUGAGCUUUGUCUUGGCUUUGUUCACUUUCCCAUUCAUGCUCUUCAAGAAACCGAUCUCAGGAGAUGAAAGAUUGCAGAACAAAGCUGUAUCUUGCAGACUCAAAGACUGUGCCAUUUGAUUCGCAAAUGAGCUCGACUCAGGAAACAGCCCCGAGAACCCGCCUCGGGCUAUUACAAGUGGC